CGAUUGAAUUAAGGCACGCCUCUCCCCGCUUGCGGGGAGAGGCGGAUGAGGGCAGGCGACCGCGCGGAUCACCUUGGCGAUCUUGUCCAUGAUCUCGCCGACCUGGCUUUCCGAGAUGAUCAGGGGCGGGGUCAGGCAGAGGGUAUCGCCGGCCACGCGCAUCAUCAGCUCGUGGUCAUGGAACGCCGAGUCCAGCGCCUCGAAGCCGCGCUUGCCGGGCCCUUCCUUGUUGGGCGCGAGAUCAAUGC
Molecule: unclassified non-coding RNA, 248 nt
Filed under: Hevea brasiliensis (rubber tree)
Lineage: Eukaryota; Viridiplantae; Streptophyta; Magnoliopsida; Malpighiales; Euphorbiaceae
Source: RNAcentral